GCAGAUUUCUUUUGUCUCCUGAUACGGAUCCAAUAGGACAAAUUUCUAACAAUGGUGUGGAGCAAACUUAUAUCAUUCCAAUGGAUCCAAGAGUAGUUCAAAAUCAUAUUCAUAUAAUCCAUAUAUAUUUGGGGCGUACUUUAACUCAUACGGGACAGAUUUGGUGCAACACUUGCAAUCAUAGGCUGAGGGAGUCUAAUCAAACCUAUGGGCUAAAACUACAUAAAGGAAAGCCUAAAGUAAAGAUCAAGCAAGGCUUUUGUGAAGAUUCAACUUUGUUAUGAUGGGCCUGCUAGUUUUAUUAUUUAGUUUUGUUUGGGCUUGUAUUCUGACCAUAUUUUAUCUUUUAAAGUUUUAGAGUGUUGGGCCAUGUUGUGGGCUUAUAUUUUAAUACUUAUGUGUUAUUUUAGUGUGUGAUUGGGCUUGAGUCUUAUGUGUUUAAGUCAGGCCCAAGAAGAGUGUCUUAGGGUUUUAUUUGUUUUUCUCCUUACUAUAUAAGGAUAAGAAACAAUUGUAAGAGGGAGCUUUGAAUCAAAAUUAUCAGAAUUAUUUUCAUGCCUUUGGCGUGUAUUGCUUUGAGUGAGAGUGAGGAUUUGCUUUCAUCAAUUGCACCAGGAAUCUUGGCUAACUUAUCAACUAUUCGUUGUGGCGUUUGUCGGAUUCUCAUCUAAAUCCUUCGAUCAUUGGUGUUUCAGCUUCUCUAAGUGNNNNNNNNNNNNNNNNNNNNNNNNNNNNNNNNNNNNNNNNNNNNNNNNNNNNNNNNNNNNNNNNNNNNNNNNNNNNNNNNNNNNNNNNNNNNNNNNNNNNNNNNNNNNNNNNNNNNNNNNNNNNNNNNNNNNNCGAAGGAUUUAGAUGAGAAUCCGACAAACGCCACAACGAAUAGUUGAUAAGUUAGCCAAGAUUCCUGGUGCAAUUGAUGAAAGCAAAUCCUCACUCUCACUCAAAGCAAUACACGCCAAAGGCAUGAAAGAAAUUCUGAAAAGUUUGAUUAAAAGCUUCCUCUUACAAUUGUUUCUUAUCCUUAUGUAGUAAGGAGAAAAACAAAUAAAACCCUAAGACACUCUUUUUGGGCCUGACUUAAACACAUAAGGCCCAAGCCCAAUCACACACUAAAAUAACACAUAAGUAUUAAAACAUAAGCCCAAAACAUGGCCCAACACUCUAAAACUUAAAAGAUAAAAUAUGGCCAGAAUACAAGCCUAAACAAAGCUACAAUAAAAUAAGUGUUGAAAUAAUAAAACAUAGCAAGCCCAUCAUAACAAAGCUGAAUCUUCACAAAAACCUUACUUGAUCUUCACUUUAGGCUUCCCUUUGUGUAGUUUUAGCCCAUAGGUUUGAUUAGGCUCCCUAAGCCUAUGAUUGCAAGUGUUGCACCAAAUCUAUCCCAUAUGAGUUGAAGUACGCCCCAAAUAUAUGUGGAUCAUAUGAAUAUGAUUUGAAACUCCUUUUAGAUCCAUUUGAAUGACAUAAGUUUGCUCCCCACCAUUGUUAGAAAUUUGCCCUAUUGGAUCCGUAUCAGCUACCUUGGACUACAGAGACAAGGUAGUCAGGUUCAGAAAACAAGAUGGAUCAGAGGUCGUCUUCAGAAGAGACAGAGUAGGUAUGCCUAGAAGUUUGAUAUCAGCCUUUCAGACUCAUAGGUUGCUUAGGAAGGGUUGUCAGGGAUUUCUUGCUCAUGUCGGAGAGUUAAAUUGUCAGGUUAGGGAACCGGCUUCAGUGCCCGUAGUUAGAGAGUUUCUUGAUGUUUUUCCAGACGAGCUACCAGGUUUACCACCUGUUAGAGAAAUAGAGUUCAAAAUUGAAGUAAUGCCAAGAACCAGACCCAUCUCUAUUCUUCCCUACAGGAUGGCACCUGCAGAGUUAAAAGAGUUAAAAGAACAGUUGCAAGAAUUGGUAGAUAAGGGUUUCAUCCGACCUAGUACCUCACCUUGGGGUGCUCUAGUUUUGUUCGUGAAAAAGAAGGAUGGAUCCUUAAGACUUUGUAUCGACUACAGAGAGUUGAACAAGGUCACUACCAAGAACAGGUAUUUGGUACCCAGGAUUGAUGAUCUAUUCGACUAGCUAGCAGGAGUUGGUUGUUUCUCCAAGAUAGAUUUGAGGUUCGAGUACCACCAGCUGAGGGUCAGAGAAGAAGAUGAUAUGAUACGGAAGUCUAGGUCGAGGCCCAGUCUACGUCCCUGGCAUUUAUGGAUAUAUUAUGUUAUGUUUAAGCGAAAGUCCUGAGGAGCUCCAUCGAGGGCCGGGCACAUUGGAUAUGUAGAGGGUUACUGGUGACAAGUCCAUCUUGAUGUGAAUUGUUUGUGUUCUGAUGCAUUUCAUAUGAGCAUAUGUUUAUUAAACCGUUUUUAUGUUCCGCUCACUAGGCUCUUGUAGCUUAUCCCUUUCCCCUAACCCCAGGUUUGCAGGGUCCAAGAUAGUUCGGGAAGUCGGCUUAGUAGCUGGUAUAGCCGAUGUAAUAGAAUAGUUGUGGACAUGUAAUGUAUAAUGGGUUAGAAUUGUGCUUGCCCCUAGUUUUUACCUUUGUAAUCCCUGUUAACAUGAUCUUUAUGUAAAGGUUUUAAGUAUGAUUUAUGUUUGAAUUAAGCUUGAGGCAUGUAAUGUUUACCAUACUAGAGCAUUUAAUUAGGGCUCUAGUAUGGGUUUUAUGUUUUUUGUAUGAUGCAUGUACAGGUUGAGCUUGGUUUCAUGGAAAAAUUUAAGUUUUUGUGAUAAUGUUUGAUCAUGUAUGGGAUCUUAUCAGGUACACAGGAUGUAUAGUAGGCUUGCUAUGGGUUCCGGCGACCUUAAGUCGAUCUAAGUCCUAGCGUCGAUAGCGGUCCGGUUUUCGGGUCGUUACAAGAAUUGCUAUAAUACCAUGUUGAACGAUGGAAUCUGUGAAUGAUUCAGUUGUUGUCUAUUCUUCUCCGGAAAGUAGGUUAUAUAUAGAUACAUUUACAACACAAAAUCAGGAGAAAAAAAAUGAAGCAAUCCUAUUAUAAGGAAACAAGAUAAGUCUGUACAGGAAACAAUAUAUAUCAGAUUUGUUAAUUGUGCAAAUUCCUAUGAUUAUGUAAUCUACUCCUAAUUGGGUAGUUCAUUCCAAUAAUAACAAAUAAAAAUAAAUAAAUAAACCCACAAUCUUACUGAUAUUUUAAUUAAUCUCUCAAUUUUUUAUUAUUAAAAUAAUAAAUAAAAUUAAUUUUUUAUUAUAGAAAAUAUUGACCAAAGAGGUAUUUCAAUUAUUAAAAAAUAUAUAACCUCUAAUUAAUGGUCAAUUAAUAUUAAUAUAUAUCUUUUAUUAAUGGAAUGAUCAUUUGAUUAGACGAAAAUUAAAUUUAGGGGCUAAUUUUGUCAGUGUAUUUGCCCUAGGACAUUAUCUUGGACCUUUUUCUAUGUCGUUUUGCUUAUUAAUAAAAGAUAUUUUUAUUAUUAUUAUUAUUUGUUUGCAUAUUACAUAAUAAUGAUUCACAUCCCUAGUUACUUAUUAUUAUGUUGAUAAUAAUAAAAUAUAGCUAGUAUGAUUAUUGAUUGAUAAUCAUGUGAUGAUUAUGUAUAUGUUGAUAUAAUUCAAUAAUCAUAGAUACUUGUUAGAGAAUAAAGUAUUGGAUGGACCCGCAUUGAGAUCACUACAUGGGUUAUUGUUAUAAGUGAAUCUCAAAGUAGUUAAAUCUUAAUCCUUUGACUUGAGAUUGUCAUAGUUUCCAACAUAAGGACUGUUAUGUUUUGACAUAACCAAACAUUGUCUUUAAUCGAACAAUCAUAAAGGUUAUUAUUGAGCAAGAUAGAAUUUGUCCCUCAAAUGAAUUGAUAGUGUGAUCAAUAUCAUUUGAUUUUAUCAGUCUACUUAGAGAUCGAGAAAUCAUAAGUUUGAACAUUAUAAGUUUGACAUUGACCAUGACUUAUCUUCAAACUAGAUAUCGUAUGACAAAGAAAUUAAUACAUUUUCUAUUUAUUAGGCUUUAUCGGACUAUUGAUCCUCAUAUUAGUUAGAUAGUCAUAAUGUCUUGCUAGAGGCUGCUUAUGACUUAUGGGUCUUGUGGUACUAGGCCUAUUGCCAAUUAAUGUGAGCCUAUUGGGUCAUACACAAAAGAACGUUGUUGAUGUGCUAUGUCAUAUUAAUGGGCUAAAAGCCCAAAACCCAUUAAUAUAAUUAAUAAAAAUAAAGUGUUAUUAUUAUUAAUUAUUUAUUAUUAUAAGAUAUUUAAAAGACCUGCAGUCUAUCUGUAACUGUUACAGAUAAAGGAUCUAUCACAUAAGAUAUUUGAGUAUCUACGAGAUUGUGAUAGUUGGUUAUGAACACAACUCUAUCACAUAAGAUAUUUGAGUAUCUGCGAGAUCGUGAUAGUGGGUUCUGAACACAACUCUUUUACGAAAAGAAUUGUGGGAAAAUAAAAGACUAAAAAACAUAUAAAACCUCUUCUGUGAAGUGGAAGGAAAGGUUUUUUGGGUUUUUUAGAGAAAUCUUUUCUAGUUGCAGAUUGGGAGCACAUAGAUUAUCCAUCUCAAGAGAGCUAGCACUCUAGAAAGAUAAUAGACGUUCGUGUGGAUACCGUUGAGGGUGUUCGUUUUAAAAGCAGCACCAUCAGUCCGGCAUUGUAUUUCUCAACGAGAUUAACAGGUUAGUCUCAUAUCCUUCCUUUGAAAUAAACGAAGCACUCGGAUUCUGGGAAGGAAAUUAGAGAUUUUUUUAUUUUUCCGCUGCGCAAUUUGGGUUGAAAUAAUCUCUAGAUUUCUCAACAGUGGUAUCAGAGCCAAUCUGUACUUUUCGUUUAAGUUAAUUAUGUCAUGAUUGAUGUGAUAUAUGCGAUAUAUGCUUUUUGAAUGGCAUGAUAAUUAUGAAAAAUUUUAUGGAUGAAUGAUCGGAUCAUUUAGGUAAUUUUUGUUAGAAAAAUUAAAUUAAUAAAUAAAAAAAGGGAUGAAUUUGCAACUGGAUUCAUGAUGACAGUCAUCGUGAACCCAUAAAUUGGCGACGCUGAUAGGCGGACAUGGAGGGCAUGUGACGCUCCUUCCAUCAUCGCGUCCAGUCGUUGCCGAGUCCUGGUCCGACGUGGUCAACCGCACACUUUGGAAGUUCAAUAUCGUGUGAAAGAAUCACGAUUGGGGCAUCAUUGCAGAUGUUGCAGGAGAUCGCGACUUCCUUUGCGAUGCCGUCGAUCUUGCGCUCGAUUGGCGGUGGACAGGAUAUCGGUGGGGGCGCAAAUGUUGUGCGUGCUUCCGGGGCUAGUCUCCCAACACAUGUGCAACGAUUCUCAUGCGGCGGCUAGGGCUUCUUCCUGAAGAAGAAGAUGAUGCUCUAAUUACAAUUCUGCCACUGGAAAUUUAAAAUAAAAAAAAAAUUAAAUGAGAAAAUAAAUUUUAAAAUGAUUUUCUUUUAGUCUUUAAAUCAGAUUUAAAUGACUAUAUGACGCGGAACCCUAUGGCACAAACCUCAAACCCACACGCACAAGUAGAUAUGGAAUCCAAAGAUCUGAUAAACCCACCUCCUAUGGCACCCCACACUUAGAGAAGCUGAAACACCAAUGAUCGAAGGAUUUAGAUGAGAAUCUGACAAACGCCACAAGAAAUAGUUGAUAAGUUAAUCGAGAUUCCUGGUGCAAUUGAUGAAAGCAAAUCCUCACUCUCACUCAAAGCAAUACACGCCAAAGGCAUGAAAAUAAUUCUGAUAAUUUGAUUCAAAGCUGUCUCUUACAAUUGUUUCUUAUCCUUAUAUAGUAAGGAGAAAAACAAUUAAAACCCUAAGAUACUCUUCUUGGGCCUGACUUAAACACAUAAGGCCCAAGCCUAAUCACACACUAAAAUAACACAUAAGUAUUAAAACAUAAGCCCAAAACAUGGCCCAACACUCUAAAACUUAAAAGAUAAAGUAUGGCCAGAAUACAAGCCCAAACAAAACUAAAAUAAAACAAGUGUUAAAUAAUAAAAAUUAUAGCAAGCUCAUCAUAACAAAACUGAAUCUUCAUAAAAGCCUUACUUGAUCUUCACUUUAGGCUUCCCUUUGUGUAAUUUUAGCCCAUAGGUUUGAUUAGGCUCUCUAAGCCUAUGAUUGCAAGUGUUGCACCAAAUUUGUCCCAUAUGAGUUGAAGCACGCCCUAAAUAUAUAUGGAUCAUAUGAAUAUGAUUUUGAACUCCUUUUAGAUCCAUUUGAAUGACAUAAGUUUGCUCCACAGUAUUGUUAGAAAUUUGCCCUAUUAGAUCCGUAUCACUAUAUAAAAUAGUUUUAUUAUUUUGUCAUAUAUUAUUAUGAGAUACUAUGCACUAUAGUCUCUAUAUAUGUAUGCAUAUAGGAUACUAUAAAAUAUAUAUAUGCAAGACAAUAUAAUUAAAAUUGAAAGUUGAACCCUCAAUAUAAAUUUUAAGUUUUAAUGCCACCCAUAUAUUAAACGUCUAUCAAGACUAAAAUCACCAAAAUACAGGUUUUGCCAAAGCAAAGUGCUUAGGUUAUCUUAGUAAGAUAGGGUGAGUAAUAGUUACUCAUUUAUUUAUUUUUGGUUAGGCUUAAUUAGGCUAUCAAAACGGUUUUGGGUCUAAGGCAUUAGAUGGGGUAUAACAUGCAUUUGACAUAUGAUGUCAACACCUCAUAAUCUAAGAGUUACAUUAGAUGUAAUUGGUAAGGAGUUACCUACCUAAAUAACUUAAUUCUAAGCGUCAAGCCAAAACAGACUUGGAAUUAGGUGAAAUACGGAUCUUAGCCCACUAAAAUAUUAUUAUUGUAAUAAUUCUUUUUGAGGGUUGUAUUUUAGUGGGAGAUUAUUAUCACCUGAAUAUUAAUUUACUAAAUUGAUUAUAUUUGCAUAUUUUGUAGAUCGUUAUGGCUGCUAAUAAAAUUUCUCUUUAUCACUGCGAUCCAUCCUUGAGAAGGAUAAACUGAAAGAAAAUUGGACUAAUUUUGUUGACUGAUUUAGAAACUUGAGAAUUGUUCUCAAGCAAGAGAAAAAGUGCUAUGUGCUUGAUGAAACUAUUGGAAAAUCCCGAGAUUAUUGCAACCCAAAUUGUGCAGCGGAAAAAUAAAAAUCUCGGAUUUCCUUUUCCCAGAAUCCGAGUGCUUCGUUUAAUUCACAAGAUGGAUAUGAGACUAACCUGUUAAUCUCGUCGAGAAGAUACAAUGUUGAUGGAUAUGAGACUACAACUUCGGGUAUUUAUGUUAUAGAUAUUAAUUUAUCUAUAUCUACUUCAUGGGUAUUAGAUACCAGAUGUAGUUGUCACAUUUGUACAAAUGUACAGGGUCUCAAAAGGAGUAGAAAACUAAAAAAGGGCGAUGUGGCCCUACGUGUAGGCAAUGGAGCAAGAGUUGCUGCCUUAGUUGUAGGGACUUAUGAACUUGUUUUGCCUAAUGAGCUUUUAUUAUUUUUGAACAAUUGCUUUUAUGUUCCUACUUUGAGUAGGAAUAUUAUUUCAGUUUCUGUUUUGGACGAUGAAGGUUUUUCAUUUCUUAUUAAGAAUAAGAAAUGCUCCAUUUAUAAAGAUGAUUCGCUUUGUUGUAUUGCAAAUUCAUAUGAUGGCCUUUAUUUCCUUAAUCUAGAUGAUUCUAAAGACAACAAUAUCUAUAACAUAACUUCUACGAAAACUAAGCCAAAUGAGUUAAACCCAACAUAUUCAUGGCAUUGUCGUUUUAGCCAUAUAAAUGAGAAUCGCAUAUCUAAGCUCCAUAAGGAUGGUUUAUUAGAUUCAUUUGAUUUUGAAUCAUUUGAAAAUUGUACAUCUUGUUUGCUUGGUAAGAUGACAAAUGACCCUUUUAUUGGACAAGGUCAAAGGGCUUCAUACUUAUUGGGCUUAAUACAUACAGAUAUAUGUGGUCCACUAAGCAUUAGUGCCAGAGGUGGUUAUCAAUACUUCAUUACAUUCACUGAUUAUUUCAAUAGGUAUGGCUAUGUCUACCUAAUGAAACAUAAGCAUGAAUCAUUUGAAAUGUUUAGAACUUUUCAAAAUGAAGUAUAAAAUCAAGUUGGUAGAACUAUUAAAAUGCUUCGAUCUGAUCGAGGUGGUGAAUAUUUGAGCCAAGAGUUUGAUGAACAUCUUAGAAAUUGUGGAAUUGUUUCACAAUUAACUCCUCCAGGAACUCCACAAUGGAAUGGUGUUUCUGAAAGGAGAAACCGAACUUUAUUAGAUAUGGUUUGAUCUAUGAUGAGUCAAAUAAAUCUCCCUUUAUUAUUUUGGGGUUAUGGCUUGGAAACAACUGCAUCCGUUUUAAACCAAGUACCAUGGAAAGCGGUUGAAAAGACACCAUAUGAGUUAUGGAUUGGCAAAAUGCCCAGUUUGUCUUUUCUUAAGAUUUAGGGUUGUGAGGCUUAUGUGAAACACCCAAUUUCAGAUAAGCUAGCUCCAAAAUCUAUCAAGUGCAAUUUUGUGGGGUAUCCUAAGGAAACCAAAGGAUACUAUUUCUAUAUUCCCUUAGAGAAUAAAGUGUUUGUUACUCGAAAUGGUACCUUUUUAGAAAAGGAAUUUAUCUCUCAGAGAUUCAGUGGGAGUACAGUGCGACUUGAGGAAACUCAAGCACCACAAGAGAGCAUUAAACUGCCGAUAGAACCACUUUCAGAACCACAAACAGUUGUAAAAACUGAAAGGGUGACACAAGUCCCACACAAAUCUGAUAGGACACGUCUUUGUGGUUAUAAUGCCAAAAUAUCAAGUCGGCUCAUUCAUCUCUUGGUGUUGAUUGUUACAGGCUUCUUGAAUCUUCUAUUUACCCAUUUUUUCCUUGAUUUAGUAUUUUUAUUUUUAUGUAACGCAAUCUUAUUGCUAGGAAUUUUCUUGUUAAGAUCCUAUAAAUCGAUUAAAACCUCAGAUUCAUACUAGAACAACGAUGAUUUAAUAAAACCCUCAAACUAAAGAUUCCUAGAGUAAGAAUCGUUGCAUCAUCACUUAUUCAAUGAUUAUAAAUAUAAUGAGUAAAAUCCAAAGAAAAAGAAAGGUUUAUCCUUUGAUUAAACAUAAAUUAAAAGUUUAAAAGAAGAAAAAUCUUUCAAUUUAUACCUUAUAACUCUUUGAAAUUUUUUGGAGUCCGGUCACGGGAUCUGAAUAUUAAGUAUGAAUGUUAUGCUCUUCUACAUCCUAGGUCUUCCCGUUCCUUCAUCUAGCUUAUGUUCUUCAUGUAGCAUUCAGACCGAAUGACUCUAUGAAAUUACGUCGAUACUUCCACAUAUCAUAUUAGGGAUAACGUAGGAGACAUUUCUAUUUUUCCCCCGGGGAAUCUUUAGAAUUACCACUGCUUAGCUUUCAAUUCGCCUCUGACCAUCAAAUGAAAUGUGAAUAAUCCGUCCUCCUCUCCUUGAAACAAGGGGCGCUUCUGGUUCUGUCGGUGCUGGAAACAAUUUUAUCUUCUCCAUAUUACUAUAUCUCUAGAGUCAAUAAUUUUCUAUGAGGAACUACUGAACUCAAUCACUUGCUGCCAUUACUCUUCAGUUUUCUGUUGAGGUCUAUCCUGUAGAGGUACUCAAAUUGGAUCAGUGAUCGAUUUCUAGGUUUCGUCGUAAACCUAAUUGGUUACUUCCAAUUACGUAAAUCAAUAGUUCAAACCGCACUCAAAGGUAGGGCAUUUCCCAUUUUUAUAGGAACUUCUGUACCAUAAAUAAUGGUAUCUCCAAUUAUAGCCCCUCUGGGAUGUAAAAUAUAUCUCGUCUCACCAUCCCCAUAGUGUAUGAGACAAAUGUAUGACAUGGAUGGAAAUGUGCAUGCCUACAAACCAAGGCUUGUCGCAAAAGGUUUCAAACAAACUCAUGGUAUAGACUAUGAUGAGACAUUUUCGCCAGUUGCAAUGCUUAAGUGGGUUAGAAUUCUCAUUGCCAUUGCUGCAUACUAUGAUUACGAGAUAUGGCAAAUGGAUGUCAAAACAGCUUUCCUUAAUGGAAACUUGCUCGAGGAUGUGUACAUGACACAACCUGAGGGUUUUGUAAUCCCUGAGAAUUCUGGAAAGAUUUGCAAGCUUCAAAAAUCCAUUUAUGGAUUGAAGCAAGCUUCUCGGAGCUGGAAUCUUCGUUUUGAUGAGACAGUCAAGGACUUUGGAUUCAUCAAGAAUGAAGAUGCACCUUGUGUUUACAAGAUGUUUAGUGGGAAUGCGGUUGUGUUUCUAGUCCUAUAUGUGGAUGACAUAUUACUCAUUGGAAAUAAUAUCCCUACCUUGCAAAAGGUUAAGACUUGGUUAGGGAAUUCCUUUUCAAUGAAGAACUUGGGUAAGGCUGCAUAUAUCCUUGGUGUUAAGAUCUAUAGGGAUAGAUCCAAGAGGAUAAUCGGUCUGAGUCAAAGUACUUGUAACGACCCGGAAACCGGACCGCUACCGGCGCUAGGAUUCAGAUCGACUUAAAGUCGCCGGAACCCGUAGCAAGCAUAACAUAUAUCCUGUACAUCUGAUAAAAUCCCAUACAUGAUCAUACAUUUUCAUAAAAACUUUAAACUUUUCAUAUACCAAGCUUGACCUGUGCAUGCACUAAAACUGUAUACAUAAAACCCCUUACUGGAGCCCUCAUCAAAUGCUCCAGUUGGGUCAACAUCUCAUAUGUCAAGUCUUGUUCAACAUAUAUCAUCAAUAAAACAUUUCAUAAAGAUCAUGUACAACAGGGAUUUACAACCAAUAUUAGGGCCAAGCACAAUACUAAUCCUCAAUACAAUACAAUACAUCAUAAUACAUGUCCACUACAAGACUAUUACAUAGCAUAAACCAGCCUCUAGCCAACCUCCAGAGCUAUCUUUGACCCUGCAACCUGGGGGUUAGGGGAAAGGGGUGAGUUACAAGAGCCUAGUGAGCAUAACAGUAAAAAUGGUUCAUGAAAUAUAUGCUUUCAUGAAAUGCAUCACAACACAAACAAUCCACAUUACGGAUGGACUGACCCAAAAAUCCCUCUACUCCAUGCCUGGCCCUCGGUGGAGCUCCUCAGGACUUCUAUUACAUAACAUAAGCUGUGUGCCAGGGGCGUAGUGCAGGCCACACCUGGUCUUUCCUGUACUCUGUGCCAGGGGCGUAGAAUGGCAGCCCUGGUCUUUCCUGUACUCUGUGCCAGGGGCGUAGAAUGGCAGCCCUGGUCUUUCAUUACAUAACAUAACAUCUAGAGGGCUAAUGGGUCGUCCUGUUGUCUAUCCACAUCAAUAACCAAUUAUGCAAUGCGGCAUAUUCGUGAAAUCUAAUGCAUCCAACCUAUUUCAUAUACAUGAUGCAUGAACAUACUUAAAACAUUUGAUUUCUUGAAAUAAAAAAUUAGUUUAUUUCUACUCACCUCUGGCUGACUCUGAACUAACUCUGAAGCAGCUAUCUCACUGCUGAUCACCUCGGUUCCUCAGGUCCGAUUCUACACAGGUGGACUCAAAUGAGGGACCAAACAUACUCUAACAUGACUCUAAACAACUCCCCAAAAACCCCUCCCAAAACAUCAUAAAACAUGCAUAGAAAACAAGCAAAGGAAGGUUGGGCAGGGGACUUUCGGUGGCAGGUUCGACGGCUGAAGGUCCCUACAGAUCCGAAAGUCAGGCACUUUCGGAGGCAAGGUUCAGCGGCCGAAAGUCCUCCACAGAUCCGAAAGUCAAGCACUUUCGAGGGCAGGUUCGGCGGCCGAAACUCCCCUCCAGAGCCGAAAGUCCAAACUUUCGGAGGCGAGUUUAGGCGGCCAAAGCUGCCUCCACAGGCAGGUUCGGCGGCCGAAACUGGCUUCGGCGACCGAACCUGGGUCCUCCUGAAGGGUAGAACCCGAUUUCGCCUCACUCAUCCAGCCACCCAAAACUUUUCAACUUGCAUCCAACUAUUCUAAAACAUGCAUACACACAUUUUCAAGCACAUAGGGGCAUAAACUAGCCUAAACCCCAACAAACAUCAACAUAGCAUCACAUUUAUCAUUAAACUAACAUAAACCCUAACAUUCUAGAUCUACUCUGGUUAUGCAUUAAACACCCUUAAAACCCCUUAAAACUCACUUAAAACCUAAAAGAAGAGGAGGAUCUACACUUACCUCUUGAAGAUCGAGAGGAGAUGCGAUCCCAAACUUGGAGAUAUGGAGGAACGAGCUCCGGGGGUCUCCAAGCUUCAAGACUUUGAUUUUGAGCUUGAAAACUUCAAAACAAGAUAAAAGCUUUUAAAAAACUUGAAAGAUUUGAAAGAAAACAUAAAAUCACCCAAAGGAUGGCGAAAUCUCACCUAUGCCCGAAAAUAGAGAGAGAAAACUCGCCCAUUUUCGAACAAGGGGCCUUUUAUAGGUAGCUAGCCAGACCACCUUCGGGGACCAAAUGUGCUUCCACAAACUCCCCAUGUUCAGCGGCCGAACUUGAGAUUCGGCGGUCGAACCUAGGUUUUUCCUUCAUAGUUUUUUCUUUCAAAACUCAAUUUUCUUUCUUCAUUAAAACCAUAAAAGCAUUAAAAACAUUUUAUGAAAACCUUAUUUUACCCUUCUAGAAGGCUCCGACGUCCGAGAAAUUUCGGAGUCCAACGGAGAUUCCGCUGGAAGGUGGGAAUUUCGAUGCCGGAGUCUAGCCGGGUAUUACAGUACUUAUAUUGACAAGGUGCUGAAAAGGUUCAGCAUGCAAGAUUCCAAAAGAGGAUUCUUGCCCAUGUCUCAUGGUAUUCAUCUCAGCAAGAAUCAAUGUCCUAUGACAUCUGAAGAACGAGAAUGAAUGAAUAAGAUUCCUUAUGCUUCUGCUAUUGGAUCUAUCAUGCAUGCCAUGUUAUGUACUAGACCAGACGUCUCAUAUGCCUUGAGCAUAACAAGCAGAUAUCAGACAGAUCUCGGUGAAAGUCACUAGACAGCUGUUAAGAAUAUCCUAAAGUACCUUAGAAGGACUAAGAAUGCAUUCCUAGUUUAUGGAGGUUUGGAAGACGAGCUAGUUGUAAAAGGUUACACAGAUGCUAGUUUCCAAACCAACAUAGAUGACUUCAGAUCGCAGUCAGGAUUCGUAUUCACUUUAAAUAGUGGAGCUGUUAGUUGGAAAAGUUCCAAGAAGAGGCAGUCUGGUUGAAGAAAUUCAUCUCAGAGUUGGGAGUGGUUCCCAGCAUUGCAAAUCCUAUGGACCUUUAUUGUGAUAAUAAUGGUGCCAUAGCACAGGCAAAGAAGCCUAUAUCUCAUCUGAGAUCUAAGCAUAUACUCAGGCGAUAUCACCUUAUUCGAGAGAUCAUUGAUAGAGGAGAUAUCAAAAUAUGCAAAGUAGAUACAAAUGACAACAUUGCAGAUCUACUGACCAAGCCUCUCUCACAGGUCAAGCAUAAUCAGCACACUAGGUCUAUGGGUAUUAGAUACUUGUAUGAUUAGUAUCUAUGAUUAUUGAAUUAUAUCAACAUAUACAUAAUCAUCUCAUGAUUAUCAAUCAAUAAUCAUACUAGUUAUAUUUUAUUAUUAUCAACAUAAUAAUAAGUAACCAAGGAUGUGAAUCAUUAUUAUGUAACAUGCAAAUAAAUAAUAAUGAUAAUAAAACCUCUUUUAUUAAUAACCAAAAUGACAUACAAAGAAAGGUCCAAGAUAAUGGCCUAGAGCAAAUACACUAACAGUCUCAAGGUCUUCUUCCUCGUUUCUGUCUUUUUCUUUUGGUGCUGCCUUGGCUCUUCUUAUUUCAUAACUUGCCCUUCCAUCUUCGUUUUGACGGAUGAACUUAUUCAAACCUUCCUUCUUUACCAGCUUUUCAAUUUCAUCUUUUAGGUUUCGACAUUCAUCCGUUGUGUGGCCGUAGCCAACAUGGAAUCGACAAAACUUGCUCUUAUCUCUUCCAUUUGAAGUAUCGAGGUUCAUUCUCCAAGGGUACUUGAUAUGUUCACCAUUCUUCUAAAUCCACAUGAGAACACAAGAUCUACUUUUAGUUAAGGGGGUGUAACUUUGAAACCUUUCUCUUCCUCUAUUACUAGGUAUCCCUCUAGAUGUACCCCUUCUAUCCUUGGACUUCUUCUCCUCUCUCCUUUCUACUUUCAGGGCUUGCUUCUCAUCAUCAAAACGUAUGUACUUUUGGUUCCUUUCCAUCAAUUGGUGAUAAUCUCUUGCUGGAUUCUUGAUCAAAGGCUCCAUAAUUCUUGUGUUAUGGCAUCCCUUUUUGAUAGCUUCACAGGCUUUUUCAUGGUUCAGGUUAUCUACCUGGAUGGCCUCUACAUUGAAUCUGUCUACUUCUAAGGAACUCCUAUUCUUCCUAUUUUAUCUUUUGAAGGUCAAAUGAUAACUUUUUGGGGGAAAUACGUGUGAUGAAUCGCUGUUUAAAGGCGUAAGCUAAUUCCUUAAAGUUACGAAUGAAAUUAGUUGGGAUGUGCUGGUACCACUUUUGAGCUAGUCCAGUGAGAGUAGAUAGGAAGACCCUGCAAAGAACCAUAUCUUUAAUAUUCUGCAGAAGUAUAGUUGAUAUGGAUUCAAUAGGGCAAAUUUGUAACAAUGGUGUGUAGCAAACUUAUGUCAUUCAAAUGGAUCUAAAAGGAGUUCAAAAUCAUAUUCAUAUGAUCCAUAUAUAUUUGGGGCGUGCUUAAACUCAUAUGGGACAGAUUUGGUGCAACACUUGCAAUCAUAGGCUUAGGGAGCCUAAUCAAACUAAUGGGCUAAAACUACACAAAGGGAAGCCUAAAGUGAAGAUCAAGUAAGACUUUUGUGAAGAUUCAGCUUUGUUAUGAUGGGCUUGCUAUAUUUUUAUUAUUUAACACUUGUUUUAUUUUAGCUUUGUUUGGGCUUGUAUUCUGGCCAUACUUUAUCUUUUAAGUUUUAGAGUGUUGGGCUAUAUUUUGGGCUUAUGUUUUAAUACUUAUGUGUUAUUUUAGUGUGUGAUUGGAUUUGGGCCUUAUGUGUUUAAGUCAGGUCCAAGAAGAGUGUCUUAGGAUUUUAUUUGUUUUUCUCCUUACUAUAUAAGGAUAAGAAACAAUUGUAAGAGGCAGCUUUUAAUCAAAAUUUCAGAAUUCUUUUCAUGCCUUUGGCGUGUAUUGCUUUGAGUGAGAGUGAGGAUUUGCUUUCAUCAAUUGCACCAGGGAUCUUGGCUAACUUAUCAACUAUUCGUUGUGGCGUUUGUCAGAUUCUCAUCUAAAUCCUUCGAUCAUUGGUGUUUCAGCUUCUCUAAGUUUGGGGUGCCAUAGGAGGUGGGUUUAUCAAAUCUUUGGAUUCCAUAUCUACUUGUGCGUGUGGAUUUGAGGCUUGUGCCAUAGGGUUCUAAGUUUGGGGUGCCAUAGGAGGUGGGUUUAUCAAAUCUUUGGAUUCCAUAUCUACUUGUGCGUGUGGGUUUGAGGCUUGUGCCAUAGGGUUCCGCGUCAAUAGUUGUGCGAAAGUUUGCCAGAUGGUUGCAUGGGUCAGUCUUCUCAACAUACUUGUCCAAAGAGGGUAGCUUAAAUUUAUCUGAAAAAGAUUCUGCUAAAAUCUCAACAGAGAAGGGAGAAACAUCUCCAAUUCUGAAGUCGUCUUAUAGCUGCUCCUUUUGAAAUCUUCUUACCACACCCAUUAAUCUUGCAUCCAGAUGCUCGCGUUUUUGGGUUUUAGACUUUAUUCCGACAGUUUCUAGACUCUUUGAGUCUUGUGGAAUGGCAUCCCCAUCUCGUUUUUUCAGAAGUUCUAUUAACAUCUUCAAUUUCUAUUGAAGUUAUUCCCGUGUUAGGGACUCAUCUUCGAGUCAUAAAUUGAUACUGUGGCUUGGUUUCCAUUAUUGACUGAUUUGGCGAUACUGUUGUUAUCCAUUGUUAGGAUUAGGGGUAAAAAGAGAUUAAGAAUAGACUAAAGAAAGAAAAAAUCGAGACAAACAAUCACGAAAUUUAUAUUCUAAUGAGAAAAUUUUUUAUUUUCCACAUACGAGGCCAAUGAUGCUGCUUUGGUUCUCCUUUCGAGUGAUGGAUCUGCAAAAUAAUAAGAGACGCUGGAUGGUUUGGUGGAUAAAACCUCUGAUACCUAAAUGAAAAAAUUACUUUUUAGUCCCUGAGGUUUAACGUAAUUAACACUUCUGUCCCUCUAUUUUGGCGACCCAACACUUAAGUCCCUCACUUUCUCUUCCGUCCAAAUUCGUAGUCCUUCCGUCCAAAAUAGCCGUUUGGGACACGUGAAUUGACAAAAUUAAUCCUCUUCUUCUUCUUCUUCUUCUUCUCUUCUUCUUCUUCUCUUCUUCUUCUUCUUCUUCUUCUUCUUCUUCUUCUCUUCUUCUUCUUCUUCUUCUUCUUCUUCCUACCCACUUCUUCUUCUUCUUCUUCUUCUUCUUCUUCUUCUUCUUCUGGAAUUUCACAUUGAAAGAAGGGUAUUUUUGGAAAAAAUUAUCACAUCUCACCUUUGACUCUUUCACCAAACGGUUUAAAUGGACGGAAGGACUACGAAUUUGGACGGAAGAGAAAGUGAGGGACUUAAGUGUUGGGUCGCCAAAAUAGAGUGAUACGGAUCCAAUAGGGCAAAUUUCUAAUAAUGGUGUGGAGCAAACUUAUGUCAUUCAAAUGGAUCUAAAAGGAGUUCAAAAUCAUAUUCAUAUGAUCCAUAUAUAUUUGGGGCGUGCUUCAACUCAUAUGGGACAGAUUUGGUACAGCACUUGCAAUCAUAGGCUUAGGAAGUCUAAUCAAACCUAUGUGCUAAAACUACACAAAGGAAAGCCUAAAGUGAAGAUCAAGUAAGGUUUUUGUGAAGAUUCAGCUUUGUUAUGAUGGGCUUGCGAUAUUUUAUUAUUUGAACACUUAUUUUAUUUUAGCUUUGUUUGGGCUUGUAUUCUGGCCAUAUUUUAUCUUUUAAGUUUUAGAGUGUUGGGCCAUGUUUUGGGCUUAUGUUUUAAUACUUAUAUGUUAUUUUAGUGUGUGACCAAGCUUGGGCCUUAGGUGUUUAAGUUAGACCCAAGAAGAGUGUCUUAGGGUUUUAUUUGUUUUUCUCCUUACUAUAUAAGGAUAAGAAACAAUUGUAAGAGGCAGCUUUUAAUCAAAAUUUUCAUAAUUUCUUUAAUGCCUUUGGCGUGUAUUGCUUUGAGUGAGAGUGAGAAUUUGCUUUCAUCAAUUGCACCAGGAAUCUUGGCUAACUUAUUAACUAUUCGUUGUGGCGUUUGUCGGAUUCUCAUCUAAAUCCUUCGAUGAUGCGGAACCCUAUGGCAUAAGCCUCAAACCCACACGCACAAGUAGAUACGGAAUCCAAAGAUUUGAUAAACCCACCUCCUAUGGCACCCCAAACUUAGAGAAGCUGAAACACCAAUGAUCGAAGGAUUUAGAUGAGAAUCUGACAAACGCCACAACGAAUAGUUGAUAAGUUAGCCAAGAUUUCUGGUGCAAUUGAUGAAAGCAAAUUCUCACUCUCACUCAAAGCAAUACACGCCAAAGGCAUUAAAGAAAUUAUGAAAAUUUUGAUUAAAAGCUGCCUCUUACAAUUGUUUCUUAUCCUUAUAUAGUAAGGAGAAAAACAAAUAAAACCCUAAGACACUCUUCUUGGGUCUAACUUAAACACCUAAGGCCCAAGCUUGGUCACACACUAAAAUAACAUAUAAGUAUUAAAACAUAAGCCCAAAACAUGGCCCAACACUCUAAAACUUAAAAGAUAAAAUAUGGCCAGAAUACAAGCCCAAACAAAGCUAAAAUAAAAUAAGUGUUCAAAUAAUAAAAUAUCGCAAGCCCAUCAUAACAAAGCUGAAUCUUCACAAAAACCUUACUUGAUCUUCACUUUAGGCUUUCCUUUGUGUAGUUUUAGCACAUAGGUUUGAUUAGACUUCCUAAGCCUAUGAUUGCAAGUGCUGUACCAAAUCUGUCCCAUAUGAGUUGAAGCACGCCCCAAAUAUAUAUGGAUCAUAUGAAUAUGAUUUUGAACUCCUUUUAGAUCCAUUUGAAUGACAUAAGUUUGCUCCACACCAAAUUUGCCCUAUUGGAUCCGUAUCAUUCUCUCCUUCUUUAGAAAAGAUUCGUCCUCGAAUCUUGCUGAUAUUUAUGUCAAACAGGGAAGCUUUAGGAACCAUGUAUCUUCAAAGACCUCCUUUUGAAUAGGUGGAAAUAGGAUAAAACUUUCGUCAUGAAUGUUUUCAUCAACAACCUGCACAUCAAGAACAACUGAACUAGGCAUAAAAAUAUUAGUCAUAGAAAUAUCUUGUGGAUGUGACCCAUUCUCCUCUACAACUUCCAAAACAGUCUCAUUCACCUCCUCCACCUCAUCAAUCACGUGCUCCCCAUGUCCCUCAUCAUUCACAACCUCUUCUAUAAUAAGUUCAUUGAUGGAAUUCUCAACAACAACUAUAUUAGAUUCAUGCAUUACAACUUCCUCUUCAAUUUCAAUCUCUAUGGAAGUUGAGAUUGGAACUUUAGCCUCUUCUUUCUCCUUUUCUUUCUCCACCUUCACUCCUUGAACUAGUCUUCAUUCUUUUCCAGGCUGUUUACCCUCAAACUCACUCUUUUCUCUUAUCUUUUCCGUAGAAUUCAAGCUCUCACUCCCCUUUGUGGCCAAGGCCGAAGCCUCCCUCUCCCUCUCCAGCAUCUUUAUGUGAUCAACAUAUACCUCUUGAGGUGAUAAAGGAGCGAGUAUAACCUUCUGUCCUUCAUGAGUGAAGGAGUACUUGUUAUUGAACCCAUCAUGUUGCACCUUUCUAUCAUGUUGCCACGGUCUACCCAACAACAUAUGGCUUGCCUGCAUAGGUACCACAUCACAUAAGAUCUCAUCCUUGUACCUACCAAUAGAAAAUGGUAUAACCACCUGGCGUGUAACCCUAACCUCACCACAAUCAUUCAACCAUUGCAAUCUGUAUGGCUUAGGGUGGUCAAUAGAAGCCAAGCCCAAUUUCUCCACCAUAUACACACUUGCCACAUUUGUGCAACUACCUCCAUCAAUAAUGAGAGUACACACUUUUCCAUUAACCAAACACCUAGUGUGAAAUAUGUUUUCCCAUUGUUCUAGGCUUUCUUUCUUAACCUGCAUAUUCAGAGCACGCCUAGCAACAAGCAUCUCACAAUGUGCAGCAAGCAACGCAUUAUUAACCAACACAUCCAAAUCAUCACAGUCAUUAUUGCAAUUAGGAGUUUUUUGAGGUAUUCUUGUAGAAGUAGAAGCUUGUGAGACAUUCAAACUCUCCAUAGUUUCAGUCAACCUUUCAAGAGUUUUAUUGAGCCUUUGUAACUCACCACUGACUGACUUCUUAAAGAGCUUAUAAUCGUUACCCAUAUUCGAUUCACUUCCAUCAGUACGAUCCACCACAUUCUUGUCUUUAGUCAUCCUACCUUAAAUCAACAAAGAACAAAAAGAACUAGCAAAUAUUGUGUUAAAAAAAGAAAGUACUCAAGUGUUUGCACUCUUACCAUUCUUUUGCUUAUUCUUCAAUUGCACUUCAGAAACUAAGGUCAACCAACCAACCACAAGGUGUGUUUAAUGAAAGAAAGAAGAAAACCUAAAGAAAGAAAGAAGACACUGACAAUUUGGAAAGUAACACACGAACUAGGUUUUGUGCUACUUGAAAAUAUCACCUAGAGUAUAGACCCAAGCAAACAAUACUCCAGCAAUGUCAAGGAAGCAAAAGCAAGUUUAAAUCAAAAAAAGAAACUUUGAAUUCAAAUAAAAACGAACCUGGACAAAAGUUUGAAAUUAAUUCACUUCAAAGCAAAUUAAAUAUGGAUCUAAUUAAAUCUACCCAAAAAGGAAAGUAUCAAAACACUGCAAAUAGAAUCAGAAAAAAAAAAUGUAAAUUUCUCUCAGAUCAGAGACAUGGACGAAAAUUCUGGUGUUAAAAGAAGGAUUUGACAUCAAAUCAAUGUAGAUGCAAUUGCAUUAAAUGUGCACUUUAGGCAAUAGGCAGAAUUUCUUUUAUCUCAUAAUCUGGAUUCAACCCAAUUCAAAAUUCAAAAUUCAAAAUUGAUUCCUAUAAUUUACUGCAAUCAAUUGAAAUAGGUAAGGCAAUAUGGAUGAAAAAGGAAGUAUAUCACAAUUUCGGCCAGAUCAAGGUAAAUAAUGCAAAGGCGAUUUUUUUUUUUCAAUUUUUUUUUAGAUUAAUAAUCAAGAAGGUGCAGCCAUGGAUACAAAAGUUUUCACCGAAAUCAACAAGAAAGACAAAGGAAAACUCAAAAACCCUAGAUCCUAAGAUAAAUAAGAAUUUACCUCACUUUUGGCUCUGAUACCAACUGACGCGGAACCCUAUG
Molecule: long non-coding RNA, 19960 nt
Filed under: Manihot esculenta (cassava)
Lineage: Eukaryota; Viridiplantae; Streptophyta; Magnoliopsida; Malpighiales; Euphorbiaceae
Description: long non-coding RNA (MESC_LNC010260)
Source: RNAcentral